This is a long non-coding RNA of Macaca mulatta (Rhesus monkey), 1764 nucleotides long. The record is from Ensembl. NCBI's taxonomy places the organism in Eukaryota, Metazoa, Chordata, Mammalia, Primates, Cercopithecidae.
CAUGUGCCCGGAGUGGGCGGGGCUGGGCGCUUCGGCUCGCAGGGUCUGGCGAUCCCGGCUACGGAGACCCGGGAGGGACCGGCCGGGAGACCCGCGCUCUAGAGCGGCGAGGGCAGGGGUUGCUAGGGCGCAGGGGUCGAACCGGCGCUCCCUGCCAGUCUUAGGGCCGCAUCCCUGCGGAGGCGGGCGUUGGAGAAGGGUACGCACACAUGGGGGGAGUCCUCGGAAAGCAAGAACGUGCUGCACAUUCCGGGGACUGGGACGUAGAUCUAAGUCACUGGAAAUACCUGGUUUGCUGCGGGAGGUGGGUCUGCAGGUGCUCAUUAUUACGCUCGUUGUUAUUAUGCUGUUGUAGUUAAACGAUAUUAGUUACAGUAUUAAAUUGCAAAUGUCAGCAUCCUUCACCGCCUGAACAGCGUGCAUACCAGUAGCAUAUAAUUUUUGUAGUUUUUAAAUGUUAAGUUUGUAACAAGUGCACAAACUUAAUUGUACAUUCGCUGAGGUUCUUUGUUUUCAAGACAGGCAUGCUCUGUGGCCCAGCCUGGAGUGCAGUGCGUGAUCAUGGCUCACAGUAACCUCAAAUUCCUGGCUUCAAGCGAUCCUCCUGCCUCACCCUCCUGAAGGGACUGGAAUUACAGGCGAGCCGCCAUGCCCAGCCUCCAUUUGCUGAGUUUUAACAAAUUAUACAGUUGUGUAACCGAAGAUGCUAUCAAGACAAAUGGAACCCUUCCCUCACCCCAGAAAAUUCUCUUAUGCCCGUUUCCCUUCCAUGUCCACUGCUACCACGCCACCUACUCUGAUUUCUCCACUAUGGUUCCCCCGUUCUAAGAGUUCCUACCGCCGGGCGCGGUGGCUCAAGCCUGUAAUCCCAGCACUUUGGGAGGCCGAGAUGGGCGGAUCACGAGGUCAGGAGAUCGAGACCAUCCUGGCUAACACGGUGAAACCCCGUCUCUACUAACAAUACAAAAAAUUAGCCGGGCGAGGUGGCAGCGCCUGUAGUCCCAGCUACUCGGGAGGCUGAGGCCGGAGAAUGGCGUGAACCCGGGAGGCGGAGCUUGCAGUGAGCUGAGAUCCGGCCACUGCACUCCAGCCUGGGCUACAGAGCGAGACUCUGUCUCAAAAAAAAAAAAAAAAAAAAAAAAAGUUCCUACCAAUGGAUCUUGGCCUUUCAGGUACAUGUCCUUGUGUAAGGCGUGUUUCCCUUAGCGUCAUGUUUCUGGAGAUUCAUCUGUGUUGUUUCACGUCUCAGGAGUUUGUUCUUCUGAUGACCGAGUAGUCCAGUGUGAACACACCAGUGUGUUUACCUGCUGAAUUCAUGGACACUUGUAGCUGUCUCUAGCUAUUGGCAAUCAUGAAUAAAGUUGCUGUUGACUUUCUUUUUGAAGUCUUUGUGUGGACAUGUUUUUAUUUCUCUGGGCAGAUACUGAGGCGUGGGUCAAAGGAAAGGAGUAUGUUAAGUUUCAUAAGAAGUUGCCAGAUUUUCCCACAUGGCUGUUUCCAUGUUACUAGUGGAGUCUGAGCCUUCCAUUUCCUCCACAUCCUCACAGCACUUGGUAAUGCCAGCGUGCGUGUGUGUGUGUGUGUGUUGUAGCCAUUUUAUUUUAUUUAUUUUUUUGAAAUGGAGUCUCACUCCGUCGCCCAGGCUGGGGUGCAAUGGCGCAAUCUCAGCUCACUGCAACCUCCGCCUCCUGGCUUCCAGUGAUUCUCCUGCCUCAGCUUCCUGUGUAGCUGGGAUUACAGGCAUGCACUAGCACGCCUGGCUAA